Molecule: small RNA, 232 nt
Filed under: Vigna angularis var. angularis
Lineage: Eukaryota; Viridiplantae; Streptophyta; Magnoliopsida; Fabales; Fabaceae
Description: Non-protein coding transcript
Source: RNAcentral
UAAAGAUGGGUCUGCAUUCCUUCUUCUAUUACUUUCUCAUUCUUCUUGCUGUAAUAGCAUCCUUUUCUUCCACUCAAAUUAAUGGAGAGUUGGAGAUUAAGAGAAAGCUUGGCGUCCAACCAACUACACCAAAAUCUCCCAUGACCGCUCAUAAUCCCGGCUCCGGUCAUAAUAAUUAGAAAAUGAAUUUUAAAUUUACCUCAAUUCUAAGUAAUCCAAUUGUAAUUUUGUU